GGCCACGUGGCGAAGGGGUAACGCGGAAGUCUGCAAAACUUUUAUGCGCGGGUUCGAGUCCCGCCGUGGCCU
Molecule: non-coding RNA, 72 nt
Organism: Candidatus Kaiserbacteria bacterium
Lineage: Bacteria; Candidatus Kaiseribacteriota
Source: Rfam